AUUGAACGCUGGCGGCAGGCCUAAUACAUGCAAGUCGAGCGAGCGGCGGACGGGUGAGUAAUGUAUGGGGACUGCCCGAUAGAGGGGGAUAACUACUGGAAACGGUAGCUAAUACCGCAUACUAUCGGAUAACCCAUAUGGGAUUAGCUAGUAGGUGAGGUAAUGGCUCGCCUAGGCGACGAUCCCUAGCUGGUCUGAGAGGAUGAUCAGCGAAACUGGGACUGAGACACGGCCCAGACUCCUACGGAGGGAGAAGUGGGGAAUAUGGCACAAUGGGCGCAAGCCUGAUGCAACCAUGCCGCGUGUAUGAAGAAGGCCCUAGGGUUGUAAAGUACUUUCAGUCGGGAGGCGUUACCGACAGAAGAAGCACCGGCUAACUCCGUGCCAGACGCCGCGGUAAUAC
Molecule: ribosomal RNA, 403 nt
Filed under: uncultured bacterium
Lineage: Bacteria
Description: partial 16S ribosomal RNA
Rfam family: Bacterial small subunit ribosomal RNA
Source: RNAcentral